CUGGCCCUCCACAGCCCAGGCCCCGCGGGUGAGGGGGCUGCAGGACGACUCGGUGGUGGAGGGCUACAAUCUGACGCUGGAGUGUUCCGCCGAGGGCCUGCCGCCCCCCGAGCUGGUGUGGUACAAGGACGGCGCACCCCUCACCUCGGGACGGCACGUGCGCGUCCGAUCCUGGACCAAAAGGCUCAAGAAGAGGAGAAAGAGCCUCGGGCGCCACGCGAGGAGUCCCGCCGUGGUAGGGGUGCAGGCUGAGUCAAAUGGGAGGGCGCCGUCCCCCCCUGAGGAGUCUGAGGCGGCGGCAUGAUCCCAGCAGACAUGCCAGCACGAGCGAGGCUGUGGAGAGGAGGAGGGCAAGCAGAGGAGUCCGGAGGGGAAGAAAAGGAAAAAUAGUGGCCGAAGAUAGUGAAAGAGACAGAAGGAGGCGACAAGGAAAGCGAGAAGAGAGACGACGAAGAAUAGGCCGCGACGGAAGGCGACGAAUAUUACCGACGAAUGACGACGACGCGUCAAGCCCGGCGACGAGGAGACGACAGGCCGACGCCGAGAGGUGGAACAAGGACAGCGACGCGACACCAGCAGGCGGGGGCAGCAAGAAGUCCGGGCGGCGGGGGCGGCGACCCAUCACGCCCUCCCAGCAGCGCGUGGUGCAAGUGUCCGAGGUGAAGAUCCACGACACCUCGAGGCGCAGGGACGCGGGCCAGUACAAGUGUGUGGCGCGUUCCGUGGUGGGCGAGGCGGAGAUAGAGGCGAACAUACGAGUAGUGCGGCCCAUCAACCCCCCACACGCUGGUGGAGAAGUGCCCCUAUGACGGUUAUUGUCUCAACGGCGGCACCUGCAUGAUGUUCACGGUGGUGGGCGAGCUGGUGUGCCAGUGUGCAGAGGGCUUCAAGGGCCAACGCUGCCAGGAGAAGGAGGUGUACCCGACCUUCAUGCUAUACCGCCGCCCCUUUGCUCGGGAGCGAGGGAGGAGGGGCUUUGUGCAGGGCGGGUAGUGUCUGGUCUGUCCGCAAAUCGAAACUGCCACGGCCCCAUCAGAAAUCUGCGACAUUCCCAGGGCCGCCGCUGCCCCCGCAACCAGCCCGCCGCCCUCUGGGAGCUCCUGCAGCAGACCCUUGCCCUCAGGCGACAACACAAAGUGACGCCUUGGACCAAGACACAGCUCCUCCUCUGGCCAACCGCCCGUCCCAGAGCCGUCACUUGGCCCCCAUAGACUGGCUCCUACCGCUCCCUCCCUCGCCCCAGUACACUUAUCCGCUCCCACAAGCUGACUCGUUCGGACCCGCCCUCUCGUCCCCGCCCUUCUCUACAACUGCAGACUUUCCUCGGUAUCCCUUGGACCCUUCCCGCGGCGGGCUCCACACCAAACCCCACCAGAAUCUCCUGACCACCUUCACCGCCCACCACAGGCUUCUCGGCGCUCCUGUCUUCAUCCAUUGUCCUUACUAAGCUGCUGUGAGGCUACAUCCUCCCCAUGGACAGAGGCCGCUGUCGCUAAACGCAGGCCAGCCCGCGUCCGUCGACGACUCCCUCCCUGGGCAGCGGCACCGUCAUCUCCACCACUCCAGUCCUCCAUCGUGCAGGACCCCAGAGGAGGCUGGUCCCCGUUACCAGUAGGAAUUCGCCCCUCAUCCAGGGACCACACGCCCCUAGAGGCUACAGACGGAAACACCCGGCACAGGCGCCCCACUCCACCCUUGCGUCACUCCCUCUGGUGAUGCAUUCCUUUAUGCUGGAGCAUUGCCAUGUAGCUGACCUCGUUCACAUUAGUAGUAGCAUCAGCAACGUCAACAGUAGCAGCAACAGCAGCCUUUAAGUAGCACCACCCAGCUAGGGUCAGCCCGUCACCGCUUACCUCUUAGCGUGGACACAGGUCGCCCCGCGCUAUCGCGCUGUGUUUUAGUCGCUUUAUCGGUUUCAGAAAAGUUUUAUGUCGUAAGAGUCUCUCGCCGAUGAUGAAGCGUCACACGCGGGCACUGCACGCAAUACUCACUUGUACUUACGGAACACCGCUGCUCCCAGGGGCCUAUUGCUCCUGAAGCCUCUGACGGCAGGCGGCGGUGGCGGUGGCGAUGGCGGCAGUGAGCGUUAAAAGAGCCCGUGCGGGAGGGAGGGUAGCGAGGCGCCGCAGUGUAGUGUAAGCAAGCCAAAGAAACCAGUAGUCAUAGAUGUAAGCAGCCCGCGGUGGGUCCACGGAGCCUCCCUCAGGGGCAGGGCGGCCUCCCUUCCUCCCGCGGUGGCCCAAGGGAGUUGAGUGACACUCGGCAGAGGACGAGUCCCGCCCCAGUCUGCUGCCUGACCGCGCCGCGAGGCUGUACGCUGCCGCCGUGCGGGUCCAUAAUUAUGAAGGUGGCAGCCGGGGAUCAAAGAAAAGAAAAAAAGACAUGUAUACUUGUACAUAACCGUGUAGACUAUAAAAUAAUAUGUUGAUAGUGGUGAUGUGUUGAAAGAGCUUGAGGUGGAAGGUGGGCGGGCGUGAGGCGGCAGGCGCCACGCAGCCCAAAACAUGCCCUGCCCAUCCAGCCGCCCUUUGCAUUUAUGAUGGAGGAGGAGCGUCGACCAGUGACUGUCUGUUCUCGAUGUACAUAGUUGUGUUCUGCCUCUGCAUGCCAUUGUACAUUUCCUCCGUAGCCACGCGAAUCACCCGUCGGUUGGCACCAGCUCCUCCCCAUUACCUGUCUACUGAAGCAGACCUCCGUGACCGUGGCCGCAGAACCUGGCUGCUUGUCCCACUCGGCAGGAGAAGACCCUGCCCGAAUGUUGACGUGGUGACUCGCAGUUAAGGAAGUCUGUGUCUAAUUGACUCCCGUACUCCUGCCUAGUCCACAGUACUCCGACAGAAGUUUUGAGUUCUUGCAUCACCGGGAGUUUCAGGGCGGGGCGUCAUUGCCUCUACCGCCCGUCUGGGUUUCUCCUGCGUCCCGAACAGUACACUGACUUUUUUUCCUGACUGAGCCGCUGGCUGGCUCAGGUCCACGAGUUAUGUAUGGCACGAGAGUUAGCAGAGUGUUUCCUGGCACUGAUAGUGCCGAGCCACCAGAGGCUGAAUGACCAGCCUGCCUGGCUGCAGGCUGGUCCGGCGCCCCGCAGCAGUCACGUCCUGCUGUUCAGGGAAGCAGACCACACGCAGGCCGGGGCCCCGCGGACCUUGGCAAACUUGCAGCAGAACAGUGACGUAGCAUAGUCUUGGACCAUCCCGGCUAGCGGCCUGCAUCCCCAGGGCCGGCAGCACCAGCAGGCUGUCCAGUCACACAACACCCUCAGACCAUGGCCGCAGUAAGGUGAUCACCGUCCGUCUCGCCGCCGAUACGUGUCCUGCAAGACCCAGGGCGCCAAGCAGGGUCUUCAGGAGUGAAGUAGUCACACCAUGAACUGAUUGAGGAAGACGAUGGUCCACUUGCGGCAUCCCUCCGCCCUGUCCUGCCCCGCCCCGUCCCGCCCCACAGGGCCCGGGUCAGGCGUUCAGCGGCCCCCACUUUGGCGCCGCCCGUAGCUCCGAGCAGAGGGUGGUGGUCCCCUCCGCCGCCUCGUUAUGAUUCCACUUGCCACAAACCAACUACCUCAGUUGAUAGUGUACAGUCGUAAAGGCGCGAGUCCUGCGUCAGGGCGCGGGGCGCCUCUCCGCCCUGCACCGGCCGCGUCUCUCGUAUGUUGUGUUGCUCUUGUUUUCGAGGUCACAGAGGCGCUGGUUUUAAUUACUUGUAUGUAUGUGUCAGGCCGCGGCGGGGCCAUGCACGCGGCAGACACACUGGGUCCCGCGAGGCUGUUAUUCAGUGAAUUUUUAUAUUUUUUUAUUUGCUGAGGACCACCACCCCAGACCCUCACCCCGCGGGGCGCCGCCCAAGGAGCGUCCAGCGGGUGUUGCCCGGACUGUAUCUAGUGUUGUAACGAUCGUAAACUAUAUAGGCGUUAAUAGAUGUUUUAUUUAUUUUUGCUGCCCACUGUGUCAUAAUUAUGUAGGUGAUGCUUACUUUGUGUAGGCCACGUGCUGACCGUCUAGUGUCAUUUGAAAUUUACAAGAAAUUCUAAAAAGUCCAGUAUAUGUAAUGUAAACUGUAAAUAUCAUUAAUUAUAUUGAUGUGUGUCGUCACGAACGAAUCUUGCCGCAGAUGCAUUUAUGUGACUUGUACGAUGUUAGAGAAGCCAAAAAAAUAAAUCACAUUAGGAUC
This is an RNA transcript of Scylla paramamosain (green mud crab), 4167 nucleotides long. RefSeq lists it as uncharacterized. The transcript is spliced from 7 exons. The record is from RefSeq and is a predicted model, not a curated record. NCBI's taxonomy places the organism in Eukaryota, Metazoa, Arthropoda, Malacostraca, Decapoda, Portunidae.